CCUACGGGUGGCUGCAGUGAGGGAUAUUGGUCAAUGGGGGAAACCCUGAACCAGCAACGCCGCGUGAGGGAAGACGGUUUUCGGAUUGUAAACCCCUGUCCUCUGGGGAGAUAAUGACGGUAGCAGACGAGGAAGCUCCGGCUAACUACGUGCCAGCAGCCGCGGUAAUACGUCGGGAGCAAGCGUUAUCCGGAUUUACUGGGUGUAAAGGGUGCGUAGGCGGCCCUGCAAGUCCGAAGGGAAAUCCAUGGGCCUCACCCCUGGACUGCUUUUGAAACUGUAGGGCUUGAGUGAAGUAGAGGCAGGCGGAAUUCGCGGUGUAGCGGUGAAAUGCGUAGAGAUCGGGAGGAACACCAGUGGCGAAGGCGGCCUGCUGGGCUUUAACUGACGCUGAGGCACGAAAGCGUGGGUAGCAAACAGGAUUAGAUACCCCUGUAGUC
Molecule: ribosomal RNA, 440 nt
Filed under: uncultured bacterium
Lineage: Bacteria
Description: partial 16S ribosomal RNA
Rfam family: Bacterial small subunit ribosomal RNA
Source: RNAcentral